RNAcentral lists this unclassified non-coding RNA (314 nucleotides) under plant metagenome. RNAcentral's name for it is "partial contains 5.8S ribosomal RNA, internal transcribed spacer 2, and large subunit ribosomal RNA". The stretch from base 1 to 105 matches the Rfam family "5.8S ribosomal RNA", at positions 50 to 154 of the family's 154-position model. The record is from RNAcentral.
GAAACGCGAUAGUUAAUGUGAAUUGCAGAAUUCAGUGAAUCAUCGAGUCUUUGAACGCACAUUGCGCCCAUAGGUAUUCCUUUGGGCAUGUCUGUUUGAGCGUCAUUACAACCCUCAGCUAACCCCUGGUUUUGAACCUGAACGGGUGACACCGCGCCGGUUUUAAAGUUGUAAGCUCUGCUGGCCGCUCUGCCCAACCAGAACAUAGUAAGCACUACUUGUCCGGGUGAAGCUGAACGGUACGGCCUGAACAAAACCUACCCACUCUCAAGGUUUGACCUCAGAUCAGACAAGGAUACCCGCUGAACUUAAGC